Regulatory RNA element from Hyphomonas sp. L-53-1-40, 78 nucleotides. It matches the Rfam family "Alpha-proteobacteria SAM riboswitch aptamer". From Rfam's summary of the family: This family is a riboswitch found predominantly in alpha-proteobacteria that binds S-adenosyl methionine (SAM). This SAM riboswitch is located upstream of the metA and metC genes in Agrobacterium tumefaciens, and other methionine and SAM biosynthesis genes in other alpha-proteobacteria. NCBI's taxonomy places the organism in Bacteria, Pseudomonadati, Pseudomonadota, Alphaproteobacteria, Hyphomonadales, Hyphomonadaceae. The record is from Rfam.
UAGAGGCCCCGUGGUGAUUUGGUCGGUCGGCUUGCAGCCACGUUAAACAACUUGCUAAAAGGCUGCGCGGGAAAUCCG